RNAcentral lists this ribosomal RNA (321 nucleotides) under uncultured eukaryote. RNAcentral describes it as "partial 18S ribosomal RNA". It matches the Rfam family "Eukaryotic small subunit ribosomal RNA", at positions 1470 to 1796 of the family's 1831-position model. The record is from RNAcentral.
CCCUUAGAUGUUCUGGGCUGCACGCGCGCUACACUGAUGCGUUCAACGAGUCUGCCUUGGCCGAGAGGUCUGGGUAAUCUUGUGAAAGCGCAUCGUGAUGGGGAUAGAUUAUUGCAAUUGUUAGUCUUCAACGAGGAAUUCCUAGUAAGCGCGAGUCAUCAACUCGUGCUGAUUACGUCCCUGCCCUUUGUACACACCGCCCGUCGCUCCUACCGAUUGAGUGGUCCGGUGAAUAAUUCGGACUGCGAAGGGCCCGGUUUCCGAGUCCUUUGUAGGAAGUUUAGUGAACCUUAUCACUUAGAGGAAGGAGAAGUCGUAACA